GAUGAACGCUGGCGGCGUGCCUAAUACAUGCAAGUCGAGCGAACAGACGAGGAGCUUGCUCCUUUGACGUUAGCGGCUGACGGGUGAGUAACACGUGGAUAACCUACCUAUAAGACUGGGAUAACUUCGGGAAACCGGAGCUAAUACCGGAUAACAUGUUGAACCGCAUGGUUCAACAGUGAAAGACGGUCUUGCUGUCACUUAUAGAUGGAUCCGCGCCGCAUUAGCUAGUUGGUAAGGUAACGGCUUACCAAGGCAACGAUGCGUAGCCGACCUGAGAGGGUGAUCGGCCACACUGGAACUGAGACACGGUCCAGACUCCUACGGGAGGCAGCAGUAGGGAAUCUUCCGCAAUGGGCGAAAGCCUGACGGAGCAACGCCGCGUGAGUGAAGAAGGUCUUCGGAUCGUAAAACUCUGUUAUUAGGGAAGAACAAAUGUGUAAGUAACUAUGCACGUCUUGACGGUACCUAAUCAGAAAGCCACGGCUAACUACGUG
Molecule: ribosomal RNA, 497 nt
Filed under: uncultured bacterium
Lineage: Bacteria
Description: partial 16S ribosomal RNA
Rfam family: Bacterial small subunit ribosomal RNA
Source: RNAcentral